Molecule: ribosomal RNA, 773 nt
Filed under: uncultured Neocallimastigales
Lineage: Eukaryota; Fungi; Neocallimastigomycota; Neocallimastigomycetes; Neocallimastigales
Description: partial large subunit ribosomal RNA
Rfam family: Eukaryotic large subunit ribosomal RNA
Source: RNAcentral
CGCAUCUGUGCAUGCAGCAUAUCAAUAAGCGGAGGAAAAGAAACUAACAAGGAUUCCCUUAGUAACGGCGAGUGAGGCGGGAAGAGCUCAAAUUUGAAAUCUUCAAGGUUUUACCUUGACGAAUUGUAGUUUAAAGAAGUGUUUUCUGUUGAAGUUUUGGUAAAAGUUCUUUGGAAUAGGACAUCAUAGGAGGGUGAGAAUCCCGUAUUUGACCAUUACUUUCAACUGUGUGAUACACUUUCAAGGAGUCGGAUUGUUUGGGAAUGCAGUCCAAAAUGGGUGGUAAAUUUCAUCUAAAGCUAAAUAUUGGCGAGAGACCGAUAGCGAACAAGUACCGUGAGGGAAAGAUGAAAAGAACUUUGAAAAGAGAGUUAAACAGUACGUGAAAUUGUCAAAAGGGAAGCGUUCGACACCAGUGUUGUUUUCUCGAAAAUCAAUUAAAAAGAGUUAGAUUUUGUUGUGUAUUGACCUUAACAGCUUGCAUUUCAAUUUUCUUGCUUUUUUUAAUGCACUUUUCGUUUAACAAGUCAACAUCAGUUUCUUUUGUUGUAAGAAGGUCAUUGGAAGGUGGCUUUCUUUUCGGAGAAAGUGUUUAUAGCCUUUGACUCCUGCAAUCGGAGAGACUGAGGUCUGCAGCGUAGAUCCUUCGGGGUUAGAUACAUUUGUGCUAAGUUAUAGCUUUUAUAGACAACUUGUUGACUAUGAUUAGUCUUGUAGCUUACUCGCUUAUGCUAUUUUACCUACGCUUAGGAUGUUGAUGUGAUACUGCGAGC